This 403-nucleotide ribosomal RNA is filed under the name uncultured bacterium. Its description in RNAcentral is "bacterial SSU rRNA". It matches the Rfam family "Bacterial small subunit ribosomal RNA", at positions 355 to 772 of the family's 1533-position model. The record is from RNAcentral.
CAAGGAAUUUUCCGCAAUGGGCGCAAGCCUGACGGAGCAACGCCGCGUGGGGGAUGACGCUUUUCGGAGUGUAAACCCCUUUUCUCAGGGAAGAAGAAAGUGACGGUACCUGCGGAAGAAGGACCGGCUAACUACGUGCCAGCAGCCGCGGUAAUACGUAGGGUCCGAGCGUUGUCCGGAGUUACUGGGCGUAAAGCGCGCGCAGGUGGCUCGAUAAGACUGGCGUGAAAGCCCCCGGCUCAACCAGGGAGGGUCGUUGGUGACUGUCGAGCUUGAGGGCAGCAGGGGGAGGUGGGAUUCCCGGUGUAGUGGUGAAAUGCGUAGAGAUCGGGAGGAACACCCGUGGCGAAGGCGGCCUGCUGGGCUGACCCUGACACUGAGGCGCGAAGGCGUGGGGAGCGAA